CACUGGGUAACCUGCCCAAGAGACUGGGAUAACACCUGGAAACAGAUGCUAAUACCGGAUAACAACACUAGACGCAUGUCUAGAGUUUAAAGAUGGUUCUGCUAUCACUCUUGGAUGGACCUGCGGUGCAUUAGCUAGUUGGUAAGGUAACGGCUUACCAAGGCAAUGAUGCAUAGCCGAGUUGAGAGACUGAUCGGCCACAUUGGGACUGAGACACGGCCCAAACUCCUACGGAAGGCAGCAG
This 244-nucleotide ribosomal RNA is filed under the name uncultured bacterium. RNAcentral describes it as "partial 16S ribosomal RNA". It matches the Rfam family "Bacterial small subunit ribosomal RNA", at positions 115 to 354 of the family's 1533-position model. The record is from RNAcentral.